Molecule: ribosomal RNA, 213 nt
Filed under: uncultured Actinomycetales bacterium
Lineage: Bacteria; Bacillati; Actinomycetota; Actinomycetes; Actinomycetales
Description: partial 16S ribosomal RNA
Rfam family: Bacterial small subunit ribosomal RNA
Source: RNAcentral
UGGGUGAUCUGCCCUGCACUCUGGGAUAAGCCUGGGAAACUGGGUCUAAUACCGGAUAGGACCGCACUUUAGUGUGUGUGGUGGAAAGUUUUUUCGGUGUAGGAUGAGCCCGCGGCCCAUCAGCUUGUUGGUGGGGUAAUGGCCUACCAAGGCGGCGACGGGUAGCCGGACUGAGAGGUUGGUCGGCCACAUUGGGACUGAGAUACGGCCCAG